Molecule: ribosomal RNA, 232 nt
Rfam family: Eukaryotic small subunit ribosomal RNA
Source: Rfam
UCAAUAUAACAUGCACUUUUGAUUGGUGGUUUCAAAUCCGUCAUAGCGCCAUUCUAUUCAGCGCCAUUAUUAGAUUGAAACCAAUGCAGUCUUCGAGCUGGUAUUAUGUUGAGUCAUAAUAACUGUGCGGAUCGCGCUUUUGCGCGAUAAAUCGAUUGAGUUUCUGCCCUAUCAGCUUUGGAUGGUAGGGUAUGGGCCUACCAUGGCAUUAACGGGUAAGUAUUAUACGUGA